UACGAAGGGGGCUAGCGUUGUUCGGAAUCACUGGGCGUAAAGGGCGCGUAGGCGGCUUUGUAAGUCGGGGGUGAAAGCCUGUGGCUCAACCACAGAAUUGCCUUCGAUACUGCAUGGCUUGAGACCGGAAGAGGUAAGUGGAACUGCGAGUGUAGAGGUGAAAUUGUAGAUAUUCGCAAGAACACCAGUGGCGAAGGCGGCUUACUGGUCCGGUUCUGACGCUGAGGCGCGAAAAGCGUGGGGAGCAAACAGGG
RNAcentral lists this ribosomal RNA (254 nucleotides) under uncultured bacterium. RNAcentral's name for it is "partial 16S ribosomal RNA". It matches the Rfam family "Bacterial small subunit ribosomal RNA", at positions 524 to 777 of the family's 1533-position model. The record is from RNAcentral.